UGGGGAAUUUUGGACAAUGGGCGAAAGCCUGAUCCAGCAAUGCCGCGUGUGUGAAGAAGGCCUUCGGGUUGUAAAGCACUUUUGUCCGGAAAGAAAUCCUUGGCUCUAAUACAGUCGGGGGAUGACGGUACCGGAAGAAUAAGCACCGGCUAACUACGUGCCAGCAGCCGCGGUAAUACGUAGGGUGCAAGCGUUAAUCGGAAUUACUGGGCGUAAAGCGUGCGCAGGCGGUUUGCUAAGACCGAUGUGAAAUCCCCGGGCUCAACCUGGGAACUGCAUUGGUGACUGGCAGGCUAGAGUAUGGCAGGAGGGGGGUAGAAUUCCACGUGUAGCAGUGAAAUGCGUAGAGAUGUGGAGGAAUACCGAUGGCGAAGGCAGCCCCCUGGGCCAAUACUGACGCUCAUGCACGAAAGCGUGGGGAGCAAACAGGAUUAGAUACCCUGGUAGUCCAGCGCCCUAAACGAUGUCAACUAGUUGUUGGGGAUUCAUUUCCUUAGUAACGUAGCUAACGCGUGAAGUUGACCGCCUGGGGAGUAC
This 537-nucleotide ribosomal RNA is filed under the name uncultured bacterium. RNAcentral's name for it is "partial 16S ribosomal RNA". It matches the Rfam family "Bacterial small subunit ribosomal RNA", at positions 355 to 883 of the family's 1533-position model. The record is from RNAcentral.